GCCGGGUAACAGUCAGCAACACCUCUCUGUUUUCUGAGUCUUCAUCAAGUAUCAGGCCACUUUGUACUUCUGGAAUGAAUCCCAAAAUGCCAUUCUGGAGAUCACUUCCUGUGUCUUAAGUGUCUGGCUGCAUUUGGGAUCACUCCUGUUACUGAGGCAGAAGAAUAAAGGACCCUCGGAUUUUCCACCUAAGACCUGUCACGCACUUUUCUUCCCUGCCGACCUGUUGCAAUCAUUGCCUGUCCUCACAGGCAUGGGUGGAGCAACAUGACAAUCAACAUGCAUACCCAGGGAACUGGUUACUUCCAUGUAGGACAGUGACUGAAAGAAAAACUCUUCCUUGUUGACUGAGUAUGCUAAUUCCUGUCCUCUAUUCCCAGAAUCAGAGGAUGACUACACUGCAGGUAAAAGGACAAGCACACCACACAGUUGGGAGUUCUGUUGGAGUUGUUGCAGGAUUCAAAAGCCAUGUGGCCCAGAAGAAAAACUCUGGAUUAAAACUCUCCAUCAGGACCCACUCCUUUCUUCACCUCGCCUUAAAGGUUUCUCCAGCUCAGGAAGGCCUGAGGGGUGACCCUCAUCAAUAGCAAGCUCCAGCCGCAAGCACUGGAGCUUGGGGCGUGCCCGGACUUGUCCCCACGUGCUCAGCCAUGACCACAGGUACUGAAUAGCGUCUCUGGGGAGAAAACAUCACAGGUGCCGCUAUUUGGUUUAGCAGCUGAGGCCAGACAGACCAAGGCAGUCCAGUUUAGUAAUAUUGGUAAAUUCCAAUAGUACCUCAAGUGGCAA
Long non-coding RNA from Passer domesticus (house sparrow), 789 nucleotides. RefSeq lists it as uncharacterized. NCBI's taxonomy places the organism in Eukaryota, Metazoa, Chordata, Aves, Passeriformes, Passeridae. The record is from RefSeq and is a predicted model, not a curated record. The transcript is spliced from 4 exons.